CGUUCCCGGGCCUUGUACACACCGCCCGUCAAGUCACGAAAGUUGGUAACACCCGAAGCCGGUGGCCUAACCCCUUGUGGGAGGGAGCUGUCGAAGGUGGGACUGGCGAUUGGACU
This 116-nucleotide ribosomal RNA is filed under the name uncultured bacterium. RNAcentral describes it as "partial 16S ribosomal RNA". It matches the Rfam family "Bacterial small subunit ribosomal RNA", at positions 1369 to 1482 of the family's 1533-position model. The record is from RNAcentral.